Molecule: ribosomal RNA, 497 nt
Filed under: uncultured bacterium
Lineage: Bacteria
Description: partial 16S ribosomal RNA
Rfam family: Bacterial small subunit ribosomal RNA
Source: RNAcentral
GAUGAACGCUGGCGGCGUGCCUAAUACAUGCAAGUCGAGCGAACAGAUGAGGAGCUUGCUCCUCUGACGUUAGCGGCGGACGGGUGAGUAACACGUGGAUAACCUACCUAUAAGACUGGGAUAACUUCGGGAAACCGGAGCUAAUACCGGAUAAUAUAUUGAACCGCAUGGUUCAAUAGUGAAAGACGGUUUUGCUGUCACUUAUAGAUGGAUCCGCGCCGCAUUAGCUAGUUGGUAAGGUAACGGCUUACCAAGGCAACGAUGCGUAGCCGACCUGAGAGGGUGAUCGGCCACACUGGAACUGAGACACGGUCCAGACUCCUACGGGAGGCAGAAGUAGGGAAUCUUCCGCAAUGGGCGAAAGCCUGACGGAGCAACGCCGCGUGAGUGAUGAAGGUCUUCGGAUCGUAAAACUCUGUUAUUAGGGAAGAACAACUGUGUAAGUACCUAUGCACGUCUUGACGGUACCUAAUCAGAAAGCCACGGCUAACUACGUG